GAUGAACGCUGGCGGCGUGCCUAAUACAUGCAAGUCGAGCGAACAGACGAGGAGCUUGCUCUUCUGACGUUAGCGGCGGACGGGUGAGUAACACGUGGAUAACCUACCUAUAAGACUGGGAUAACUUCGGGAAACCGGAGCUAAUACCGGAUAAUAUAUUGAACCGCAUGGUUCAAAAGUGAAAGACGGUUUUGCUGUCACUUAUAGAUGGAUCCGCGCUGCAUUAGCUAGUUGGUAAGGUAACGGCUUACCAAGGCGACGAUGCGUAGCCGACCUGAGAGGGUGAUCGGCCACACUGGAACUGAGACACGGUCCAGACUCCUACGGGAGGCAGCAGUAGGGAAUCUUCCGCAAUGGGCGAAAGCCUGACGGAGCAACGCCGCGUGAGUGAUGAAGGUCUUCGGAUCGUAAAACUCUGUUAUUAGGGAAGAACAAAUGUGUAAGUAACUGUGCACGUCUUGACGGUACCUAAUCAGAAAGCCACGGCUAACUACGUG
Molecule: ribosomal RNA, 497 nt
Filed under: uncultured bacterium
Lineage: Bacteria
Description: partial 16S ribosomal RNA
Rfam family: Bacterial small subunit ribosomal RNA
Source: RNAcentral